This 402-nucleotide ribosomal RNA is filed under the name uncultured bacterium. RNAcentral describes it as "bacterial SSU rRNA". It matches the Rfam family "Bacterial small subunit ribosomal RNA", at positions 362 to 757 of the family's 1533-position model. The record is from RNAcentral.
UUUUGGACAAUGGGGGCAACCCUGAUCCAGCAAUGCCGCGUGAGUGAAGAAGGCCUUCGGGUUGUAAAGCUCUUUUGUCAGGGAAGAAACACCGGCUCUAACACAGUCCGGGAAUGACGGUACCUGAAGAAUAAGCACCGGCUAACUACAUGCCAGCAGCCGCGGUAAUACGUAGGGUGCAAGCGUUAAUCGGAAUUACUGGGCGUAAAGCGUGCGCAGGCGGUUAUACAAGACAGGCGUGAAAUCCCCGGGCUUAACCUGGGAAUGGCGCCUGUGACUGUAUAGCUAGAGUGUGUCAGAGGGGGGUAGAAUUCCACGUGUAGCAGUGAAAUGCGUAGAUAUGUGGAGGAAAACCAAUGGCGAAGGCAGCCCCCUGGGAUAACACUGACGCUCAUGCACGAA